RNAcentral lists this ribosomal RNA (511 nucleotides) under Acanthodactylus scutellatus (Nidua fringe-fingered lizard). Its description in RNAcentral is "partial 16S ribosomal RNA". It matches the Rfam family "Bacterial large subunit ribosomal RNA", at positions 1854 to 2620 of the family's 2925-position model. Lineage: Eukaryota; Metazoa; Chordata; Lepidosauria; Squamata; Lacertidae. The record is from RNAcentral.
CUUGCCUGCCCAGUGAUCACUUUUAAACGGCCGCGGUAUCCUAACCGUGCAAAGGUAGCAUAAUCACUUGUCCCCUAAAUAGGGACUGGAAUGAACGGCUAAAUGAGGACUUAACUGUCUCUUGCACUUUACUAAUGAAACUGAUCUCUUAGUCCAAAAGCUAAGAUCUCACCACAAGACGAGAAGACCCUGUGGAGCUUUAAACCAAACUCAUACCCAUGAACCCUUGGUUUUUAGUUGGGGCGACUUCGGAGCACAAAAAACCCUCCGACACGGAAUUUAACCUAAUUAGAUUAACACAUCAACCACUCAUGACCCAGCAACUAAUCUUAGCUGCCUGAUCAAUGAACCAAGUUACCCCAGGGAUAACAGCGCUAUCCCCCUUUAGAGUUCCUAUCGACAGGGGGGUUUACGACCUCGAUGUUGGAUCAAGACCCCUAAUAGUGCACCCGCUAUUAAAGGCUCGUUUGUUCAACGAUUAAAGUCUUACGUGAUCUGAGUUCAGACCGGA